This 117-nucleotide ribosomal RNA is filed under the name Bacillota bacterium. Lineage: Bacteria; Bacillati; Bacillota. The record is from RNAcentral. RNAcentral also lists the same sequence under 1 other name.
UCCGGUGGUAAUGGCGGAGGGGCCACACCCGUUCCCAUCCCGAACACGGAAGUUAAGCCCUCCAGCGCCGAUGGUACUAGGCUGGGGACGGCCUGGGAGAGUAGGACACUGCCGGAA